UACAGGCUUGUUACUUUAAUAGCCCAUGUUCCUGGGGACUCGGCUAAGGUUAUUCAUGUUUAAUGUAUCUCAAAUCAAAUGAAAGCAGUUAUUGUAGGCAGGUAAGUUUCCCUAACUGGUCCCCUCUGUGUAAAAUGCGUUCUUAUUCAAGUUUUCAACUCAGUCAUUCGUUUAAGAUGCAAUCUUGUGUUAUAAGUAUUAGGCUAUCAUGAUUAUACAGUGAGCAAGCUAUAUAAAUAAGUAUUUAAUAUAAUAAAAGUGUAGAGCAACAACCGAGGGUGUAAGGUAAAGGCUGAAUAUUGUAGAUUUAUUACAAUAUGUUGCAUGUUUGAAUUAAAAUACCUGUGGAUAUGCAGGAGCACACACUCUACAAAGGCCUGACUGGAGAUUUGCCUGAUCUAUCCGUCCUUCAGGUGACAGCGGCUCACUUCAAGAGCAGGUGAAGCAAGUUGGGACAAUGUUGAAGACGUUUGCUCGCACUGGGCAAUCGGGUGCAGAUCAAACCCUAAUGCUGCGACGUCUUGGAGUUUGGCGAUGUUGUGCGUAGCAUGGACAACAAAAUGCUAUGCUGCAACAUUUCAGUGCCAAUGUGUCUGUUGGAGAGUUAUCCCUGCCAGGGGAUCUGUUACUCCCCCCUAGACACCCAGGAAGAUUUGGUGUUGCUUGACAACAGUUUGAGGCAGGAUAAAGAGCUCCAGCAACGAUUUGUAAGUGUGCCGAUUUCGUUUAUAACGCCAUAGAGUAAUCUAAAAAGUAAAAUUAAGAUCGUACACUGCAUAUUCUACAGUCUGAAUCCACAGCCUGUCACAUUUUAAAUUUAUGAGAAGCUUCAGAGAAAUGUAAUUUGUAACAUGUUUUUUUUGUAUUUUCAGCUUCGGUUUUUGGCAAUCAAAUGUGAGAGGGACCUAAAGACAACCGUGUGGCGAAUGCUUCAGAGUAUCUUCUCUAAUCACCUUUCCAUCAAUACAACCUGAACUGGUGUAGGGGAUAAAGCAUGUUUUAGAGACAUG
Long non-coding RNA from Xyrauchen texanus (razorback sucker), 1010 nucleotides. RefSeq lists it as uncharacterized. The record is from RefSeq and is a predicted model, not a curated record. The transcript has 3 exons. Lineage: Eukaryota; Metazoa; Chordata; Actinopteri; Cypriniformes; Catostomidae.